Molecule: ribosomal RNA, 460 nt
Filed under: uncultured bacterium
Lineage: Bacteria
Description: partial 16S ribosomal RNA
Rfam family: Bacterial small subunit ribosomal RNA
Source: RNAcentral
CCUACGGGUGGCAGCAGUGAGGAAUAUUGGUCAAUGGGCUUACGCCUGAACCAGCCAAGUCGCGUGAGGGAAGACUGCCCUAUGGGUUGUAAACCUCUUUUGUCAGGGAGCAACGCCGGCUACUUGUAGCCGGACUGAGAGUACCUGAAGAAAAAGCAUCGGCUAACUCCGUGCCAGCAGCCGCGGUAAUACGGAGGAUUCGAGCGUUAUCCGGAUGUAUUGGGGUUAAAGGGUGCGUAGGCGGAAUGCCAAGUCAGCGGUAAAAUCGCGGGGCUAAACCCCGCUCCGCCGUUGAAACUGGCGGUCUUGAGUGGGCGAGAAGUAUGCGGAAUGCGUGGUGUAGCGGUGAAAUGCAUAGAUAUCACGCAGAACUCCGAUUGCGAAGGCAGCAUACCGGCGCCCAACUGACGCUGAAGCACGAAAGCGUGGGUAUCGAACAGGAUUAGAUACCCGGGUAGUC